This is a non-coding RNA of Coffea arabica (coffee), 2451 nucleotides long. Lineage: Eukaryota; Viridiplantae; Streptophyta; Magnoliopsida; Gentianales; Rubiaceae. The record is from RefSeq and is a predicted model, not a curated record.
UUAAAUUUAAAUAUAUAAUUUAAUUAACUUUUAUCACUUAAACUUUUUGGUUAUAUGGGUGGGAUUUCAAAAGUUGCAAUCUUUAAUUGCUCUGUGCUCUUUAUUUUUAUUUCUUGUUAUUUUUGAAAAAUUUAUGAAGUGAUUUGGGUUUUUGAAGGUUAAUGAUGUACAAGUAAAAGAUAAAGUUGAAGGCUUUGAGAAGUAUCUUUUAGUAGUAAUUUGCAGGUUGAAAAGACUUGCGUUAGCACAGUUUAGCACCUGUACCUGUAAAAAGAUGGUGCUUUUUUGAAUACAGAACAAGGAUGUUACUUGAGGACUCAUUCUUACUCAACUUUCUAUCUUCUGUUUCAAUACUUUGCCUGCACUAGUGGUAUAAUAGCUUUAUAGCUGAAUGUUCGUCUGCCAAUGCUUGCUUAACAUUUUUUUUUUUAUUUUUUUUGUCUUUUUCAUUGUAUUGGAUUCUAAGUAUGUUGGUUUUUGAAAGCAAAUUUAUAGGGGAGGUAGUGAAUGCACUUGGAGCUAUAGCAUUGGGAGCACCCAUGAUUCAGAACUUCAACAGGACCUCUACUGGUCUCUUCUGAUGUCAGCACUUACUGUUAGGAUUUCAUAUGACGUCUCAUUUGCCAUGCUGCCUCUCAUGCUUCAGUGAACCCCUGGAUCAAAUGGGCUAGUGUGUCCCAGCGGCUUCUCUGUUUGGUUCUCCUUGGGCUUCCUGGCACUGGAUAUUUGCUCACACAAAGCCAAGUGGACCUGUAGAGUACAUGAUCUGUCUACCUGCUCAUGGAGCUGUCAUUGGAGCUUGGUUUGGCGCUUAACCAAUGCCACUUGGCUGGGAAAGACCAUGGCAGGUAGGCUUACCUUCCUAUCUAAUCCUGGUCAUUUGAGACUUAUAUGAGUUAUGCAUUCCUUUUAUCUACAUAAUUCAUCUGGAUAUUCUAUGUGAUUUUUUACCACUUUAAAGACAAAACUUGAUCUAGUACAGGCUUUUUUCCAAAGAACUUUAAAAUUGUCCAGUAAAAUUCAAGUAUUGGUUGCAGAGCGAAACUUGAAACAGUUAUUCGUUUCUGGAUACAUAUUGAAGUUUGUAACAUUUGAAACUGUAGCCGAAUGAAGUUGGCAAAAGGUGGCAGGUUUCAAUUCUCUUUUUUCUUUCUUACUGUGUACAUGAACAGUUGGUUUCGUCAAGAACUUAGUAGUAAGAGUGGCUCAGAAAUAACUGACAACUUCAAGAGUUACCUGAGGUCUACCAUCACAUGGCCAAAAAAUCUUUGAAAUGAUGUUCUCUUGUUACAUUCUCUAAAUUGACACAAAGUAUGGAACUUGAUAUGUUAAUGCAGCAGUAUGAUAUAGUCAGGGUUCUGAGUUAACAAUUCAACAAUUGAUGCUUAGCUUUCAUGCUUAGAUUGUUGUGUUGGCUCUGAUAUAUUUGUUCACUUUGCCUUUUCAUGUAAAGAUGCCAUAUUAACAUUGUCCUAGUACAAAUAUUACACCUUGCAUGUGAAAUUGUGCCUUGAAAAGCACCAGAGAGAUGAUGAGGGUUUACAUAGUAGUCCUGAUGUGGUUCUGAUAAUUCCGCGAUGUAGUGAUGUGUUGAUCUACUGUUCCAAGUAUAAUCUCCUAGGACAGGUUAGUUGCAAUGGUUUUGGUAAAUGUAGUUGACCAUGUAUGUUUGAGCUCGGCAAUUAGAUUCUGAAUGUUGGAUGUCAUUCAGCCUUGGUUUGCAGCUUGUUGUUCAGUUUGUUAUGCUUUGUACCCUGAUACUGAGAUGAUUUGAAGUUGUUUGUAAGACUGGCCAAUUUUUGUGAGCUAUGGAGCUUUCGCUGGGUACUUUGUUGGGAUGGUGGCAGCUUAGCUUUUGUUUGUGUCCUCUUCUGAAAUAAUCCAAGGCAUGUAAACUGAGAGACUAAUGAUGGAGAAUUCGACAUUAAUCUUAUUGAAGGUUGCUAUCGAUGACCAUAUUGAUAGACCGAGUUGCAUCCAGCUGACCAUAGGACCUCACCUGCUCAGUGGAAGUUUUGCAAUUUUUUCCCAGUAACAUUACAAAACUCACCCCUCCCAUGAACUUCCCUUACCCACUUUUCUUUUUGCCCAGGCAAUGCAAUUUGCAGAAGCUUAGAAGUACCUUUGGUUCUCACUGGAAGUUCUUUCUUUACCUUUUUUCCCUUUAACUCUAUUUCUUCAAUUAUGAUCUGCUGGUGUCUUUAAAUGGAAAAUCCUUGUCUGAUGCAUGCUUACUUUGUAAAUCAUUCUGUCCAGUUUGUGAGGAAGAAGGAUGUUGUUAGUGCUUAGAGAUUAGUAUACAUGGCACAUUCCUCAAUUAUUCGCUCUCUAGUGUAAAAGGCUUGAAUCACUAAAUCCUGGCUUUUGCUUAACAGUUACAGGUGAAGAUAUUUCACAGCCAUUGUUUAUGUUUUGUCUUUAAAUAAACUUUGGGCUGAUGGACCCUUUAUA